RNAcentral lists this unclassified non-coding RNA (235 nucleotides) under uncultured fungus. RNAcentral's name for it is "sequence contains ITS2". The record is from RNAcentral. Lineage: Eukaryota; Fungi.
AACGCACAUUGCGCCCUUUGGUAUUCCGAGGGGCACGCCUGUUCGAGCGUCAUUUAAACCAUCAAGCUCUGCUUGGUCUUGGGCGAGGUCGAGCGACCCGUCCGUAACCCGUUGGCGGUGCAGUCCGGCUUCAAGCGUAGCAAGAAUUUCGCUUUAGGGGUCCGCGACAGCGUCUGCCAGGGAAUAAUACCUAAAGUUUGACCUCGGAUCAGGUGAGGAUACCCGCUGAACUUAA